Non-coding RNA from Arachis ipaensis, 1078 nucleotides. NCBI's taxonomy places the organism in Eukaryota, Viridiplantae, Streptophyta, Magnoliopsida, Fabales, Fabaceae. The record is from RefSeq and is a predicted model, not a curated record.
GAAACCCUAGUUCUAAAUCCCUAAUCAGAAACCUAAUUUCCCUUUCCCCAGCCCUGAAGCACGCAGCCCACCCCCUUUCUUCCUAAAACACUAACACAAAAAACAAAAGAAAGAAACGCAUAAAUGGAAAGGGAGAACAGAGAGCUUGGAAUCGGAGAAGAGGGAGCCAUACUCUGCGCCGUCCAGCUGCUCGCCACGCCGUCGAUGUCGUCGGGAAAAGAAGGAUGCAUGUGAAGGAGGAGCGCGACCUGCUGCGAGAGGCCAUGCGCUGUUGCUGUCACUGAAGCCCGCCAUCGUCGUCGCAAUUGAUGAAGCCACUAACGACGCCCCUGUCGCCGCUUGAAGGGGAUUUCAUCACCGCCAUUUCUGCCACUACUGACGAGCACGAAGGGAGAGAUAGGAGUUCAUAGAGAACAGAGACGUGACGAGGAAGAUAAGGGCUCGUAACACUGCCGCUGUUGCUGGAGACGGAGGUUGCUGUCGAGCUACACGCCGUUGCCAUCAGAGGAAGCUGCUGCUAUUGUGUGUACAGAGAAGAGGAGCGUCACGAGAAUCAAAGGAAGAAGACGCUGUCCCGCCGCUGCUUCUGGUUUCUGGAAUCGGAGAAAACGCCACUGCCGCUGCUGUUUGUUGGGUUCAAGAUCGCUGAUGCUGUCCUGGAAAAAUGCCCAAAAAUAUUUUUGUUUCCGUCUAGCCAUCAUUAUCACGAUUAUUGAUGACAUCGCUGCUACAGAGAGUCAUUGGCACCACUGUUGCGAUUGCUGCCACGAACUAGGAAAUAAAGGGAAUUGAUGUGUUAGAUCCUGUGAUUACGACAUCGAGUGACACAGGUUUGAAGAUGCAAUAUGAAGCUGCAAACGAUUAGUAGGUUUUCUUUGUGGUUUUAAUUGCUUUCAUAGAGUCCCCUCGCUCUUGUCCUUUGAGGUUUUAUUUUAACAGAGGGGUAGGUGUUGUAUUUGGGUUUAUAUGACUCCUUAUGUAUAAGAAUUACUAUUAAUAAUACUUAUGUGAUUGUUAUUAUUAUUUGCAAUGUUUAUCCUUGAUAGAUGUCAUUAAUGAAUAAAAACAAAAUUUUCUG